UACGGGGGGGGCAAGCGUUGUUCGGAAUUACUGGGCGUAAAGGGUUCGUAGGUGGCUUGCUAAGUCAGACGUGAAAUCCCUCAGCUUAACUGGGGAACUGCGUCUGAUACUGGCGAGCUUGAGUGCAGGAGAGGAACGCAGAAUUCCAGGUGUAGCGGUGAAAUGCGUAGAUAUCUGGAGGAAUACCGGUGGCGAAGGCGGCGUCCUGGACCAACACUGACACUGAUGAGCGAAAGCCAGGGGAGCAAACGGG
RNAcentral lists this ribosomal RNA (253 nucleotides) under uncultured bacterium. Its description in RNAcentral is "partial 16S ribosomal RNA". It matches the Rfam family "Bacterial small subunit ribosomal RNA", at positions 524 to 776 of the family's 1533-position model. The record is from RNAcentral.